GUGCUUGCUUCGGCAACACAUAUACUAAAAUUGGAAUGAUAUAGAGAAGAUAAGCACGGCCCUUAUGCAAGGAUGACACAUAAAUUUGUGAAGCAUUCCAUAUUUUU
Nomascus leucogenys (northern white-cheeked gibbon) is the source of this 107-nucleotide small nuclear RNA. The record is from RefSeq and is a predicted model, not a curated record. Lineage: Eukaryota; Metazoa; Chordata; Mammalia; Primates; Hylobatidae.